Molecule: ribosomal RNA, 695 nt
Filed under: uncultured bacterium
Lineage: Bacteria
Description: bacterial SSU rRNA
Rfam family: Bacterial small subunit ribosomal RNA
Source: RNAcentral
ACGAGAGGACAAGAGAAGCUUGCUUCUUUUGGAAUCGAGUGGCAAACGGGUGAGUAACACGUAAACAACCUGCCUUCAGGAUGGGGACAACAGACGGAAACGACUGCUAAUACCGAAUACGCUUGGAAGACCGCAUGAUCUUCCAAGGAAAGGGUGGCCUCUACCUGUAAGCUAUCGCCUGAAGAGGGGUUUGCGUCUGAUUAGGCAGUUGGUGAGGUAACGGCCCACCAAACCUACGAUCAGUAGCCGGUCUGAGAGGAUGAACGGCCACACUGGAACUGAGACACGGUCCAGACUCCUACGGGAGGCAGCAGUGGGGAAUCUUCCGCAAUGGGCGAAAGCCUGACGGAGCAACGCCGCGUGAGUGAUGACGGCCUUCGGGUUGUAAAGCUCUGUGAUCGGGGACGAACGGUCCGUAAGCUAAUACCUUAUGGAAGUGACGGUACCCGAAUAGCAAGCCACGGCUAACUACGUGCCAGCAGCCGCGGUAAUACGUAGGUGGCAAGCGUUGUCCGGAAUUAUUGGGCGUAAAGCGCGCGCAGGCGGCUUUCUAAGUCCAUCUUAAAAGUGCGGGGCUUAACCCCGUGAUGGGAUGGAAACUGGAAAGCUGGAGUAUCGGAGAGGAAAGUGGAAUUCCUAGUGUAGCGGUGAAAUGCGUAGAGAUUAGGAAGAACACCGGUGGCGAAGGCGACUUU